RNAcentral lists this ribosomal RNA (133 nucleotides) under uncultured bacterium. RNAcentral's name for it is "partial 16S ribosomal RNA". The record is from RNAcentral.
UGGUACCGUCAUCAGACUGCAUUAUUUACACAGCCUUUAUUCUUUCCACCCGACAGAGCUUUACGAUCCGAAAACCUUCAUCACUCACACGGCGUCGCUGCGUCAGGGUUUCCCCCAUUGCGCAAUAUUCCCC